UUGUGCCUUGUGCUUUCAUCCACGGCUCCUACUGCUGGGCUUAUCACUUCUCUGACCUGCUUCAUUGGGUUGUUGUUCAGCUUUCUUAGCAAACUUCUUUGGGGCGAUUUGAUUGUCAUCCCAAAGGGCGUAGGAUUCUGCGAUCGCGAAGACCUCUACUAGAGUCUGGCUGGGAGCGACAGUCACCUCGCAGUACAAGUCUUGCUCGG
This 209-nucleotide long non-coding RNA is filed under the name Prunus persica (peach). RNAcentral describes it as "long non-coding RNA (PPER_LNC002391)". The record is from RNAcentral. Lineage: Eukaryota; Viridiplantae; Streptophyta; Magnoliopsida; Rosales; Rosaceae.